CGCGCAGGCGGAUUAGCAAGUCAGAGGUGAAAUCCUACAGCUUAACUGUAGAACUGCCUUUGAAACUGUUAAUCUUGAGUACGGAAGAGAGAAGCGGAAUUCCAGGUGUAGUGGUGAAAUACGUAGAUAUCUGGAAGAACACCAGUUGCGAAGGCGGCUUCUUGGUCCGUUACUGACGCUGAGGCGCGAAAGCGUGGGGGAGCAAACA
This 208-nucleotide ribosomal RNA is filed under the name uncultured bacterium. RNAcentral's name for it is "partial 16S ribosomal RNA". It matches the Rfam family "Bacterial small subunit ribosomal RNA", at positions 568 to 774 of the family's 1533-position model. The record is from RNAcentral.